GUACGUCACAGAAGUCUUCUUCUUCUGGAAAAUCUUAGUCACCUGAGAAUGCACAUGGAGAAUAUGUGGUUGUAAAGAAGUGGUUUCCUGUGGUUGGUGUGGAGCUGACAGAAAAUAUAUGACGGGGAGGAAGGAACACUGGAGGACUAUAGAAACAGAACAGGCAAACAACACCAAUGAUCCUAGACACAUUAGUUAAGCCUCACAAAUGGAGAAACUGAGAAGGAAGAGGAGGUUGCUAAGUGACGGUUGCUGUGAGACCUAUGUGGGCGGAGAGGCAGUUGAGGAAUGAGGAGCAUUGUUGCCAUGACGAUGGAUUGACUAUUAACACCGUUUAGGUCGGUGUAGAUGCAUUGUGGGCCGUGAGUGAUGGACAGUCAUCAUGAGCAUAAUGCUACAAGUGUGUGUUACAGCGAAUCUACUCAGUGUGUAUACACACAGCACAUAAAUAUAUAGCACUGAGCAGGCUACUGUAUUUAGUCACACAACUGCAAACAGAUACUAAACUCACACACCCAGUCUAUACUGCAUGUCUGUCUUCCAUUUGACGUAUAAAUAGUAUACGACUUACCACAGAGCACCAUCAAAGUGCUCCUUUUAUGGAGUGGAAAACAUGGACAGUUUGGACACAGAAGUUGGUGACAUAGCCACACAGUUAAACACCAAAAGAUAGGGACACCACGCUGGCUGCCACAUCACACAGGAGGACUCAGAUAGCCUUUUUAUGUCUGGCUCCUAGCCAUAUCCAAACCGAGGUCGCAUCAUAUCACACAUGAAAACACAAUAUACUUAACUAGGAACAUCCUUGCUCUCAUUUAACUCCUCUCCUCCCAAAGGCCUUCUCUGCUCUCCUCAUCUCAAUUUGAUACCCCUGCUGUUGCCACCCCUCCUAUGAGUGUUAGAGUGUUAGGACGGCAGGUAGCCUUGCGGUUAGAGCGUUGGGCCAAUAACUGAAAGGUCGCUGAUUCGAA
Coregonus clupeaformis (lake whitefish) is the source of this 971-nucleotide long non-coding RNA. RefSeq lists it as uncharacterized. NCBI's taxonomy places the organism in Eukaryota, Metazoa, Chordata, Actinopteri, Salmoniformes, Salmonidae. The transcript is spliced from 3 exons. The record is from RefSeq and is a predicted model, not a curated record.